ACCCGAUUAUUUAAGGACCCUUAUUUUGGUGAGCAGAUAGGUGUCUUGGUGAUUCCGAGACCCUCGCGCCCCGGCAUUUCCGGGUUCCCGCUUCCGUUUUAGAGCGGCGCUGGUGACGCGUGCAUUGUGGCGAAUUGGCGCCAGAGAUCGCGUAAAGCGAUCGCAACAUUUAGCCGGUGGCUGAAUGAUGAGUAUGUAUGUCGAGCCGCGGUGCCUGAGCCAGUGAGUCUUGGUGGGAUGGGGAGGCUACCUGCAUUUAUUCGGUGGCGUGCUUCAGUGUGCCAACACAACUUCCUUAUGGUGCAAGUAGUGUGAUUUUUGGUGUGACUUGCAGUGGGUUUGGAUGAUGAGUUGUAGCUGGCCUGCCUUGUCCCUGCCAAGCCUGGGCCUCGAAAAGUCCUUAGUUUUAAAACCCUCAUUGUGCUCCAUGGGAAAGUGAUUUUAUAUUUUCAUGGCAAGUUUUAAAUGAUGCUGAAGUGUCAUAAUAAAUUUAUUUGUGCCCAUGUC
This is a long non-coding RNA of Ictalurus punctatus (channel catfish), 507 nucleotides long. RefSeq lists it as uncharacterized. Lineage: Eukaryota; Metazoa; Chordata; Actinopteri; Siluriformes; Ictaluridae. The transcript has 3 exons. The record is from RefSeq and is a predicted model, not a curated record.